CAAAUUGAAGCUUAAAAGGAAGUUUUUUAUUUACAUUAAAAAGAUCUCUGUGCAAUUCAGUGCAGUUUGA
This 70-nucleotide transfer RNA is filed under the name Drilaster sp. 2 XYG-2023a. Its description in RNAcentral is "tRNA-Val". Lineage: Eukaryota; Metazoa; Arthropoda; Insecta; Coleoptera; Lampyridae. The record is from RNAcentral.